Molecule: unclassified non-coding RNA, 10052 nt
Filed under: Leishmania donovani
Lineage: Eukaryota; Euglenozoa; Kinetoplastea; Trypanosomatida; Trypanosomatidae
Description: gene:LdHU3.36.6980(CDS-product:hypothetical_prote in_conserved)
Source: RNAcentral
AGGUAUGAGUCGAAGAACGACCGUUGUGAGAUAGAAUCCGCACGCCUUUUCGAUUUGGCUCUGUUUGCGCGCACCUCUCCUUCACUGCUCCUUCACGUUGACACCCACUGUUGUCGGUGGCCAGGGACGUCUUUCUCGUUUGUUUUGUUGUCUGUGUCAGCGCUGUUGCUGCGUCGCCAGGCGCUCACGCUGACCCUCUACGUCGUUCCGUGAAGACCGCUUGUCCGCCAACUGCACUGGGCGUUGUUCCAGCGUCGAAGGUAAGCAUCUUCGUAGCGACAAUAAGCAUCGCAGGCAAGCUCUGAAAUUAGUGGAGCGUUGCCGUCCCUCUUGCCAGAGAGAAGCUCUGCUCUAACGUCUCGUGCUACUCUCACAGUGGUGCGACGCAGAUAUACGCAAACGCCAUUGAGAAACGGCUCUGCCAAAAGGCAAGAAGCAGCAGUAGCCACACAGCAAAAAGAGAACAACGAAUAACGCGCUUUCUUAUCGCGAUCGUGGCACUUGCACAGCGCACGCCCACGAGUAGUGCAAAUACGUUCCCCUCCUCCCCCAAAACACAAAGACGAACACAAACACCGACAGAAAAGGAAAGAGCAAAAAAAAAGAAACGCGAGGAGGAGGACCUGGAUAUUGAAAGGAAGGCGCUCUAUACUAACGCACCCCGUGCCUGCGCCGUUCUUGCCUCUUGUCGUCUUCUCUCUCUUUGGCGUUUUCCGUUUGUCCCCCUCGCGUGUCAGCGGCUCCUCCGCGUGUGUCUACUCGCCCCAUCUUUUUCUUGUUUUUCUUUUUUUUUUCGCUUCAAUCUUGCCCUCUCUUUCGUGUCUCUCUCUUGCGCUCUGUACCGUGCCUGAAGGUGACUGCCUCUCUCUGCCUGUGUUUCUACGCCCCUCUCCCUCCCACCUUGGAAAUACGUGCUUGUUCGUCGUCGUACUGGUGUAGUUUGUAUGCGCGCUCUGUAGAUUUUCUUUCUUCCUCGUUCUCGUCGUCAUCUGCCGUGCCACGAAGUCUCACUGUGGUUCGGCACCCCCCCCCACACACACACACAUCAAAAAAAACAGAACAGUAAAGGUGCAUGGAAACUAUGGCCACCACCGUGUCUCCCAGCGCUCUCUGCCUCCCGGGAGGCUUGCAGACCCUCUCAGCGUCCUGCUACCGUCAUAACCCUUACGCGCUCACUCUUCUCCAGGAGAAGGACCGCGAGAGAGCCGUCGAGUCGUUUGGCUACAUCUACAGUGUCCUGACAGACGAGGGCAGGGCCUUGCCCUCCCCGCCACAGCAGCGAAAGAAGGCGAGAAGGGGCGUUACCGGGAACAAAGGCAGCAGCAAAUAUGACUCCAGCUGCCGUGACCCUGAGAUGCAGCAGCUAGACUCGUUGUUCACAAAGAGCGGUGCCGCGGCAGAUAGCAGCAACGAUGAUGGCGUGAGCGAGACGAGUAGCGACUGUGGCAGCCACUACGCAAAGGAAGUGCUCGCGACGUACCCCCCUGGGUUUUCUGUCACCAGCUCGCAGUUGCACCCCGGCACCAGCUCUGCCACCGCUGCCGUCCCAGCUGCCGUACAGUCCGUCAUCCGCUACGCCUCGGUGAACUUCCGCUUCGGCUCCGCCUGGUUCGUCGCUCCGUUCCGCACGUUCACGGGUGACAUGGUCGUGGUCCAGUACCCGGGCAACAACAGUUUGCACAUGGGCCUCGUUAGCGCUAUCACCACCGCCAAGCCCAUCACCUUCUACACAGAGGACAACAUGGAUCCAAACUACCUUUCUCCCGAGGAGCUGCAGACGGUGCCUCGCUUGCUUCGCCACGCGCGCGACUUCGACAAGGAGACGAAGCUGGACCUCCGCAGACACGACUUGAGCUCACUUGCGAACGCUCGGAAGCUCGCGGCGGAGAUUGGUGCCCCUGUCCAGUUCCUUGAUGCAGAGUGGUUGCUCGACCUGAGCGCCGUGACGUUCCUCGUGAAGGUGUUUGGUAACACGGCCCUCGCGGAUAAGCUUGUGGACGAGCUGGCGAUGCAGGAGGGAGCCGAGGUCGUCUUUACGUACCCGGUUUCGUCGGCGACGAUGUACUAAUAGAACGUUUUCGGCCGGAGAAGAAAAGUGAACCCUGAGGAACACACGGAAAGAUAUGCGUGCAGCGGUUAAAAAGAAAAGCACUGCGAACAGCGCCGGGCCAGAUGGGGUUGGUGGCGGUGUGCCGGUUGAACACUGCCGUCUCCUCCCUAGCGGACUGCGCCCCAUUUGCUGCGCGCGUGCGCGUAUGCGGACCCCCACCCCCACCCCGCGUUUCUUGCACGUGUCUUUCCAGUCACUGUGGCUGUUUUGCCUCACUUGCGCCUUUGCUGUCGUCUUUGUUAGAACUCCACCGCGCGUGCGAGAAAAAGUUACGACACAUGCGGUGACCGCCCCUCGCACACCGCGACGUGCGCAAUAAGCGUACACCACGGACGUUUGUUUUUGUUUUCUCGGUCUCUCCUCUGGUGGAUCCGUAACGUGUCGACUGAUGGUGUGCUGCUUAGUGAAUGCUUGCUUUGUGUACGAGUAUGUAUAUAUAUAUGGGUGUGGGUGUUUCUUAGCUGUGCCUUUUUUUCACGACAGAUGGCGCUUUAUGGUACACACACACACCUCGAGAACUGUGGCAAGCGUAAGAAGCAAUAACGUCACUCGCCGCCUCAGUCGUUGCCGCGUUCCGUGCAAUUUUAGACCCCUCGCUACCAACCGAGACGGUCUUAUAAAGCAGGAACUGUGUGCAGGCGUGCACUCUUGCGACGACGUGCUAGAGGAUGGGCACAUUAUAGAUGUAUAUAGAGCAGGAAAAGAAUCAAGAUCGUCUGUGUGCGGUUGGCGUGUCGUGAGGGUCUUACUCUACGCUUUUUUUUUUCGAUGCUUCCCUCCCCUCCCUUCCCCCAGCCACAUCGCCGCCCUCACUUGCUACCUCCCCUCUUGCCCUAGGUUUUGGUCACUGUCAACCGUAUACGUGUUGAAUUUUUUCUUUUUUUUGCUUUCAGUGAGUGCGUGUUUGUGGUGGGGAUUGAGUGUCGAGAUGGCGCUCCAGCGAGACUUUGAAUGCAUCGCUCCGUCAUGCCCGCCCCCUCGAGGAAGGAGGAGUAGCCGGAACCCCUGCAGGUGUCCCCAUAAACUCACACGCGGACGUAGGUGUCUACUAGCUUAUGAAUGCACCAAUUAUGUAUGUAUCUCUCUCUCUCUUUGUGUGUGUGGGAGUGUGUGGAAAUUGUUUGUUUUGUCGCUUUCUCACUGCUCCCCUUCCACCUACCUCAAUCUACCCUCGCUCUCAGAGACUCGUCCUCGGCGUCUCCGUUCACGUUUCUCUUCCUUCUCCAUUUCUUGUUUUCUGUGCUUUUAAUAGAGCAAACACUGAAGCAGCUAGGUUUCUAUAACUCUUCCCCCCUCCUCUUUACAUUUUUUUUCGUUUCCCUUUCACACGCAUACAUUCGCAAACAUGCACUUGCGACUCUUACGGCUUUUUGUUUUGCGCGUUCCCCCUUGCCCCCCCCCUCGAAACGAAGCAUCGCUCUCUUGGCUUUCAUUCCUCCUCUAUAACAAGCAUGCCCACUUCUUAAAGUAUGAUCGUUUAUCGCCACCCCUACCUGCGACUAUUUCCGUCUCUGUCUUCAAUCUUGUCAUGUGGAAGCGCUCACAGGUGUGACCCCAAGUUUCCAGAAACUCCACCUCCCAUAAAUUGCUAACACGAGGUACGGGCUACACAGGGACGUCUUCGAGGGACUCGGGUUGCUUCCGGAGACGGCGAUUGUGGAUGUGCGUAUACUGCUAUGAGGAAUGAGUGCCACCGAUGGCGGUUGCUUCGUUGCGAGUCGGAGAACGAGUCGAAUGCGUUUGCGUCUCUGUUUGCGUGUGUUCGUGUGUUUGUCUGCCGUGUGCGCGUUAUUUCAUUGAUGUUCUCCGGCUGAACAUCCCCGAUGUCUCAACUUUCGCAGUGAUCUCUGUUCCGCACCGACCUGUUCACUUUUCAUAUUUUUUUUCUCGGCUUCUUAGAACUCUUUCACUUCUUUUUGUUUCUUGCGCUUCUAACUUGAUUGCGGAGACUCUCUCUCUCUAACACUCUUUCGCUUGUACCGGCCCGCUUUUGCUUGCAAGAGGGAGAGAACAGCGGCAAAAUAAGAAGAGCAGUGGAAAGGCCCAGGCGAAGGGGGAUGCACAUCUGCAUUCGACACUGAUAACGCAACUUCAAAACCAAGGGAAGUGAGCGAAAAGAUGGCGGCUACGUGCCUACGUGGUCCAUCGGAGUGAUGUGAGUAGGAAUAGUUGGCAUGGUACCCUGCAAAGUGUCCCGCAUAACGCGUUGAUGUUAGUGUGCGAUGGCCAACAAUAAAGCUGCCGCUCCCUCCGCUCCUGAAUAUCGUCUACGUUCUCCUGUGAACACAAGGGAUUGCCCACGGAUCCUGUCAUUUGAUUUCUUCGCCUUGUCUCGUUCUCCAUGGUCUCUGUGGUGAUGUGGUCACAUCCGCUCUCUCUCCUCCUAAGGUGCCCUCCCCCUCUUUCCUGAUUGCCUUCAUCCCCUCCCUCAUCUCCCUCCCUGCACAUGUUAUUAUGCUUACCGAUGAGGUCAUCAUGAUAGAUUUUGUAUGUGGUUUCUCUCGCUUUUGUUUAGUCUUUCUUUGCUCUUGGUUAGCGUUGGCCCUACACGCUCUGCUCACCUCUUCUGUUGUUUGCGUUUCGUUUGUUGAGCCAUCCUUGUUCCCUGCCACCCUUUUUCCUUUUCCUCCCUUCUCCUCCUCGUUUUUCUUUUUUCCUUUCCUUUUAUGCUUUCCUUCAAAAUGCUGCUCUCUACUCUCCCUUUCUCUCUGAUACAUCUGACCAUCCAAAAUCUUGAUACCCUGAGAGGGUACGUACGUAUAUGUGUAUGCGUACAUGUGCAUGUACGUGUGUGUGUGUUUUCUGUUUGCAUCUGCGUGUCCUCCUAAAAUACACAAAAUCACCAUCUGUCUUGUUUUCCCUUUCGCGCGCAUGUUCUUUUUGGUUUGUUUGUUUUCCUCUGCCACUUCUCCCCUCCCCCAUUCUCCCCCCUCUCCCGCACACUGUGCGUGUAUCUCUUCCUUGCCGUUGUUUCUUUUUUGCUCCAGUUUCCUUUCUUUAGUUCCCCUACACCCCUGUGCUUUUCUUCGUGCUUGAUUCGAUAUCUCCCCCCCCCUCCCUCACGCCGGCUGCUUUUGUUUGUUUUCUGUCGUUUUACGCCCGCACCUCACGUAGCUUGCGUAAAUCGUCAACAGCAGCGGCGGUGGCACUCGCUUCAUGGAUCACGGACCUGUUAACAGGUCGCCGACGCCAGGCCGACAUCCUCCGCAAUGUCGCUACGAGGUGCAACACGAAAACCACAGGCGCUCCUUGGACGGCGGCCGCCCUGCACCAGAAGGGAAAGUAUGUUGUGAUCACGAGAUGCUGUGAGUUUAUCCUCGCCUAGCUGCCCACGGGCACCUGCCCGCACUUGGGAUUGCUGCAGCGACAAGAUGGCGUGCAGAUGGUGUGCCGCCCACUGACUCUUCUAGCGCUGUGGCGCCCCCACCCCCGCCAGCGCUUCUGACCCGCCUGCUUUUUCGGUGAGGGCGGCCGAUCCGGAGCUGCGUCCGGUAUGCGAUGCGAGAGUCGCGGAUUGCUCGAGGCUCGAGGCGCACCUUGUUUCACGCUACGAUGCUGCGCGCACCGGUGUGAUGAUGAACAUGCCAGUUGCGCCGCAUGGCCUUUCCGCGCCGUAUGUGUGUGUGUGUGUGUUGCUGCCUCCACCCCUCCCCCCCCCCGUGCCCGUCGGAAGGACACGCUGUGAGCUCUCUGUGCGCGGGGGCAUGUCUGUCGGUGGGUCCCCUCCGCUUGAAACGCCCACGCCUGUGAAUGGCGCGCGGCCUCAGGGGAAGUUGGAGGUGACUGUGCUGUCGCAGACUCGUGGCAUCGCUCGACCUGUCGCGGCGCAUGCGAUGAAGCCACGCGUCCGCCAGGAGAGCAAGAGUGACGGACCGAAAAGAGCGCGAAGGGCACCAUACGAAUCGGCGCCAGGGUGCGUGUGCGCGCAGAGCAUGCGGGGCGUCCCGUGAAUCCGACCCGGGGGGGGCUGAUAUGAGGGCACGGGUGCCGGAAGCGUGGCGGCAGCGCCCCGAGCUCGAACCAUACUGCGAUGGAGACUGAAAUGGGAAAAGCUUCCACACCAGAUUACGGAACUCCGCGGCGUGAAGCGACUGAGGGCGGAAGGCGACACAGAGGCCGGCUGUGCAGGGUCUCAGAGGACCCGGACCGGAAGCUGGCCUGGCUCCUCCCUGAGCACAUCCGGCGUGCACCUGAACCACCCCUUACUACCCGGCCCCGCAGGCGCCACGGCGUCUUCCGUCGAGCAGCACCCUUCGCCGAAGCCCGCUUGAAUCAAGUCAUGCAGCCCGCAGCCGAGUCCGUGUGGCGACAGCCGCGCGGCACUUAUGCUAGGAGGGGACGAGUAAGAGCGAGAAGAGCCCGCGGGACGCGUGGCCCGAGCCAGCGGCAGACGGUUUCGCCCUAGUCGACCAGGAUUGAGCGGCGGCUUAGCAGCGGAUAGAGAGCUGUGGGUGCGCAUGCGUACAUACGUCUCGCUGGCGUGUUCGGGGGAGAGGGCUGGAAGUGGGCAGGUUGAUGAUGGACAAUAAAAGGAGAGAAGAAAAAGGGUACUUCCCCAAACGUACCUUACAAAAAUACUUAGAGAAGAAAGGGCCGAGUGUCGUUCAGAGAUGCACCGAUAUUCGAGUAUAUCGGAAAAAAGGAAGAAGAACGGGCGACCAUAUCGCUGAUAGCAAGGGGACGACGCACACACGCGCGCAUCUUUAGCCGAGGAACAAAAAAGAAGCGGAAACGUUGACGAAAAAGAGGCAUUUUUUUUGGUUCGGUAUAACCGAGAUGGACCAAGGCUUAGAGCUCUUUUGAAGGUUUCGUCCGGCCUCCCUUUUCGAUGAGAUGCGCUGCUUUCUCUUGAUGCUUCCUCAGGAAUGCAGCAAGCAACUGAUGCCUCUUUUUGCCAUCGUCUUUUUUUUCCAGACGUUGGCGGGAUGGGCAUGUUCUCACCAGAUUCAGGAAUGCUGGGCGUGUGAAACAGCGAGGUCCAACGCACGCGCACACGGGCUGAUCGAUGCACACAACAGGAGCCACUUUGCGCACUGGCACACCCAGUGUGCCUAAAUUGAUGCUUGCCAACAAAGAAAGGGAAGAAGAGCGGAGAGGGAAUAGCCGAGAUGCCUCCCUUUCACCCCAGCCCCUGCCUGUGCGCAUGCAUGCACUCGGCCUCACACUCAAACACAGUGGUUAUCACCUCUGACGUGUGAGCGAGAGGUUGGGGCGGGAGGGUGGUUGGGCAUGAGGUCGGUCGGUGUCUCUGGACGCUUGGCACUUGGCCACCAUGUAUGUCAUGUCUGCAGGAUGUGUGCGUGUUUGCGUGUGUGGCCUUCGCCUUUUUUCCCUGGCUUAGAUGCGUUGAUCUCCACCUCUACCUCCAUUACACGCGGAUAAAAGUGUGUUUCGAGGAGUGUGUGUGUGUGGGGGGGGGUGAAGGCAACUCUGGAAAAAGAACAAGGUCAGGUAAAUCAAGAAAACUGAUACACUGGUGAGUAGUGUUUUUUUGUUGUGCUUGUUGGCUUUGUAAAACAUGAUUGACGUUACCCCCCCCUCUCCUCAACCUCGUCUCUCGGCUUCAUUCAGCGGCGUAUGGGCGGCCUCGAGUCGGAUGUGAUGCGCAUGUGCUUCUUGUCUCUCCUCCCAUACGCGCAGCUUUCCUGGAAGGCACUGGGAGGGGUCUUUCUGUGCCAUUUGUUGCUCUUUUUCUUUCUACGCCCGUCUUUGCCGAUGGCGCCUACGGUAUAUGCAUUUUGGAUGCUGAGCAUGAAACCUUUUUUAUCGCUUUCUGUCUCUUCUGUUUCCGCCCUUGGAUUGUUUUCUCGUUCUUCUCACUUCUUUUCCGUAAUUUCUGGUUGCUCUUUGGUCUGAUGGAAAAAAAAGCAGAAGGACUCUGCGAGGCGUAUCUGAUUGUCUGCUUCGCCAACGUUCGCAUGCCUCUCUGCCUGCCGAUCCCCCUCCCUCUCUCUCUUGUGAGCGUGUUAUGACAUUCUUCGUCGGCACGUGAGAGCAUCCAUCCCCUGUGUCAGGUUGACCUUUGUCGUGCAUGCGAUGGAGGAGCGGGAGACAUAAACACAGACACACAGAGAGGAAAAUGUGGCCAUAGCGUGGAGGUGCUGUGUGUGUGUGUGUUUGCUAUGCUUGCACGCGUUUCUUUUUUUAUUGUUGUUCUUUCAGCCGUGGGUGUGCAUGCGUUUCGCUUUGCGGUAGAUGACGCACGUGCGUCCGUUGCUGUUGUUGUGUGGGUGACGUGGCAGGCGAUGCCAUGUGAUAGUUACCCUUUUGUGAGCAUGAUUAUUAUUAUUUUCUUUUUGUGCGCCUCUGUCUGUGUUCCUCUGUGUGUGCGCCCUUUUUGGUUUUGCGUUUCUCGCGUGCUCUUGCGCUUCUACGCAUCCUACGAGUAUCUGUAUCUAUAUAUGUAUUGUGUGUGUGUGUUUCUUCCGUUUUAUGGUUAUGAUUUGCGCGCCCCGUGCUCUGUGCUCGGUUUUUUCAUGUCUUCCUAAGAUUACAUGUGUGUGUGUGUGUGUUUACGCCUGUCGCAUGCCGGUUUGGCUUUGUGGUGUGCGUGGUCUCCACUUCGAUGAUGGGCACAAAAAAAGGGGGCUCUCCUCGACCCAUUUUUCCACGAAGGGGAUGGCACGACCAGAGACCGCGAGACAGGCAUGCGUGCGCAAACAUACCAAGGAAGACAUACUAGCAUCUAUCCAUAACGUUUUGGCCUGUUGCAGCAGAAGCCCCAGCACGGGCAAAGGAGGAGGGAUCAAUGCCAAAAAGAAAACAUCAGCAGACAGUCAAUCAUGUAUAGUGCAGCAGAAAUAGCAAGCGAGGGAGAAUUCAGAUCCCUGUGUGUGUGCAUGUGUGCGCGUGAGCACUUCUGUUACGGUAUGCGUUUGUGAGCCUCUUUUUUCUGCGUAGCUCAAAAUGUAAAAAAAAAAGAAGAUAAAAGCUUACCGAAACCACAAAAAAAAGAAACGGCGCGCGGGGUCAUAGUAAUCUAUCCUCGCUAUAUUCCUCGACCGCAUCUCGAGCAGCACGACUUCCGACUUGCUCCGGGGAUGCGCUUCGGUUACAGACGAGUGCCCAGCCAAGCCACUACCCUGCUCUUUCGCUUCUUUCCACUUGUAAGGUUAGUAGACGAAGAGCCCGGAAAAAAGAGAAUACGAAAUUUCGAUUAGUAGUCCGUUUCACGUUCUUUUUUGUUUGGCUUCGUCCCUGUCGUGCUGAUUGCGCGUUUCACUGGAUUCUGGGGAAUGCGCGGAGAGAGGGGGACGAAAAUGCACUCAACACGACACAUAUGCAGAAACGGAGAGACUGAGCGCCGGCUGUGUGGAUACGACGAAAGAAGGAAAGAUAGAUCUGCGUUUCGGAUGAAUCGAGGGCACACGCGUGCUUUCGCAGCGCCUCCUACGUGCACCACACCAUUCCGCGUCUCCAUUAAGUAAGUUCGUGGCACGCUCUUUCGUCGUUGUCGUCUUGCUGCUCCUGCGCCCGUCGAAACCACAGCAACGUAUAUUUUGUUUCCCUUCAACUCUGCGUAUGCACAUGUGUGAGCCGACUCUACCUCUCCGCCUUUGUGAUGCCUGCGCGUAUGCGUCUUGGAUGACAUGUUUUUGUGCGUCGCUGUCUCAUGUUGUCUAUUUACUUCCCUCCCUGUCCCUGCACACUUUUUCUUUUCUGUGUUUUUUGCGUCUAUUGUUUAACGAGGAUUACGCCUUUGAUCGCUUUUUAUUUGCCUGUUUUGGUUCCUCUUUCCCUUGUGUGUUUCUCUGGUUUUUCGUAUGUUUUCUUUCCCCUUCGCCUUUCAUCCUCAUUCGCGCUUGGACCCUCCCCCUCCGUCCCUUCCCUCCCUCGUUUUGUGUUUCUGUUGUGUCUCCGUCAUCAUCAUCGCCUGAUAGUGCGCUCUUCAGUCGAGUGUAUGAGGCGAAUGCCCGGCAAGAAUGAACCACCACCGACAGCG